Molecule: ribosomal RNA, 466 nt
Filed under: uncultured bacterium
Lineage: Bacteria
Description: partial 16S ribosomal RNA
Rfam family: Bacterial small subunit ribosomal RNA
Source: RNAcentral
ACGAACGCUGGCGGCGUGCUUAACACAUGCAAGUCGAACGGAAAGGCCCUGCUUUUGUGGGGUGCUCGAGUGGCGAACGGGUGAGUAACACGUGAGUAACCUGCCCUUGACUUUGGGAUAACUUCAGGAAACUGGGGCUAAUACCGGAUAGGAGCUCCUGCUGCAUGGUGGGGGUUGGAAAGUUUCGGCGGUUGGGGAUGGACUCGCGGCUUAUCAGCUUGUUGGUGGGGUAGUGGCUUACCAAGGCUUUGACGGGUAGCCGGCCUGAGAGGGUGACCGGCCACAUUGGGACUGAGAUACGGCCCAGACUCCUACGGGAGGCAGCAGUGGGGAAUAUUGCACAAUGGGCGGAAGCCUGAUGCAGCAACGCCGCGUGCGGGAUGACGGCCUUCGGGUUGUAAACCGCUUUCGCCUGUGACGAAGCGUGAGUGACGGUAAUGGGUAAAGAAACACCGGCUAACUACGU